This 841-nucleotide long non-coding RNA is filed under the name Macaca mulatta (Rhesus monkey). RNAcentral describes it as "lncRNA (ENSMMUG00000050325.1)". The record is from RNAcentral. Lineage: Eukaryota; Metazoa; Chordata; Mammalia; Primates; Cercopithecidae.
AAUAUAUUUACAUAUGUGAUUAUCAUGGAAAAUAUGAAAACAUUUAUGUCAGUAGGUAGCCAGUUUGCUUUCCAUCUUGCACACUAUUCCUGAUAACUUCAGUAGAAUUAACUCGUUCCACUCUAUCAGAUAGAAGAGGGAAGGAGAAAUGCUUAUCCCAUAUUUAGAGUUGACAGAGCAGAAACAAAAAGUAAAAUGAGGAGGGGAGAGGAAGAGAGGGAGGGAGGAAGGGAGUGAGGUGGGGAGAUAAAUGGUGAGCAAGCAAGCACAAAGUAUUUAGAUUGAUUGGGAGAGAGAGAGAGAUCUACCUGCUGACCAGGAGCAAUUCCCAUUAUUGAACAAAAAGCAAGAAGUGUGACUGGGAAGCUUCUGGGACUUAAUUUCAGUAGAAAAAAAAAUUGCAGAGGAAAAAAGCACAGAAAACUCCUAAAAUAUCAAUACAUAAUAUGGAUAAGAACACCUCAUUUAGAUAAACUGAGUAAUUAAUUACUGAAACAAAAACCAAGACCGUCAUCUGUGAAACAGCUUAUUUUACACAAUUAAUUAUUCUCUGUCAUAUGGUUGAACACAGACCAAUUGUAAAGAGAGACUACUGUGGAGCAGUUUUGAACAGAAGAACUUGUGCUGAACACUGACAUUCCAUCUCUGAGAGAAAUCAUUGAAGAUAUUUAGAUUUCAGGAGUACUUUUGUUUGGCUGAAUAAAGACAAGACUAUGCCAGGAAUAGAUUAGAUGCUAUUAUCCACUUUGGAAAUUCGUUAUACCAGUUGUCCUCUGAUGAAAACAUGGCAGAUGUAUUCUCAUUGCUUCAACCCACUCCUUGAAGACAUCCUGAUUCUUUC